This 253-nucleotide ribosomal RNA is filed under the name uncultured bacterium. RNAcentral describes it as "partial 16S ribosomal RNA". It matches the Rfam family "Bacterial small subunit ribosomal RNA", at positions 524 to 776 of the family's 1533-position model. The record is from RNAcentral.
UACGUAGGGUGCAAGCGUUAAUCGGAAUUACUGGGCGUAAAGCGUGCGCAGGCGGUGAUGCAAGUCAGAUGUGAAAUCCCCGGGCUUAACCUGGGAACUGCAUUUGUGACUGCAUUGCUGGAGUGCGGCAGAGGGGGAUGGAAUUCCGCGUGUAGCAGUGAAAUGCGUAGAUAUGCGGAGGAACACCGAUGGCGAAGGCAAUCCCCUGGGCCUGCACUGACGCUCAUGCACGAAAGCGUGGGGAGCAAACAGG